Molecule: transfer RNA, 70 nt
Filed under: Ictidomys tridecemlineatus (thirteen-lined ground squirrel)
Lineage: Eukaryota; Metazoa; Chordata; Mammalia; Rodentia; Sciuridae
Description: Spermophilus tridecemlineatus (thirteen-lined ground squirrel) tRNA
Rfam family: tRNA
About the family: Transfer RNA (tRNA) molecules are approximately 80 nucleotides in length.
Source: Rfam by way of RNAcentral
GGGAAUAUAGUUCAGUUGGUGGAGUACUUGCCUGGCAUGCAGAAGGUCCUGGGUUCAAUCCCCAGUACCA